Callithrix jacchus (white-tufted-ear marmoset) is the source of this 114-nucleotide unclassified non-coding RNA. It matches the Rfam family "Metazoan signal recognition particle RNA". From Rfam's summary of the family: The signal recognition particle (SRP) is a universally conserved ribonucleoprotein. It is involved in the co-translational targeting of proteins to membranes. The record is from Ensembl. NCBI's taxonomy places the organism in Eukaryota, Metazoa, Chordata, Mammalia, Primates, Cebidae.
GCCGGGUGCGGUGGCUCACGCCUGUAAUCCCAGCAUGGGAGGCUGAGGUGGGUGGAUCACCUGAGGUCAGGAGUUCGAGACCAGCCUGAUCAAUAUGGUGAAACCCCAUCUUUA